This is a long non-coding RNA of Manis pentadactyla (Chinese pangolin), 2506 nucleotides long. RefSeq lists it as uncharacterized. The transcript has 3 exons. Lineage: Eukaryota; Metazoa; Chordata; Mammalia; Pholidota; Manidae. The record is from RefSeq and is a predicted model, not a curated record.
UAUCUGCAGGCCCAAAGAUGUUACUAAAAUCGGCAAAUGCAAACGGCCCAGGCCAGCAUCCUGGGGACUGCCUGGCUGGGUUCAAGCUGGCCAAAUACAGGCGCCCUGCGUGCAGGUCCAGCCCUGCAAAGCCCUCAGCCCAUUAGGGUCAACCUUAUGGCUUGGCUUCUGGUGGCUCCCGGGGCCCCACCUGCUGCAUACCCGAUCCCCAAGCUGGGUGCUGCACCAGGACACUGGGUACACGGAGGUGAGGUUGCCCAAGCUGCUGGGCAGAGGCCGCCAAGGAGUCUGUCCCCGGCUGCCCCUGCUGGCCAGGGAGCCCUCCAGUGCCUGCCCCUUCCUCUCCCUCUCUCCCUGCUCUGCCCAGGGCAGGUAGGACAGGCACUCACGGAGAGGGCAGGGCUUCUCAGCAGGACCUGUCCUGGCGGCUGUUCCCUGAGCCCUACCGUGUGCCUCUCAGCGCCAGGGACGAAGACGAAGGAUUCUGUCAGGAUGUUCCUGACAGAGGGGAGGUGGCGGCCAUGGGACAGAGACCUAGCGAGGGGCCCCUCAGGGUGAGGACCCGGACCCACAGAUCAUCAAGGGCUCCUGAUUGCCUGGGCAGGCUGCUGCAGGCUGGGGGCUGGGAGCCCUUCACGGUGAGGGGUGGGAACUGUCCGCCCAUGGGAUCCUGGCAACAGGUGGGGCCGCAGCUAGUGGGGUGGGCUUCUCGGAGAGCCCAGAGGCCGCAGGCCGAUUCAUCUCCCAACCUAUCCUCAGAUCAGGUAACCGUCCCUGGCAGGAAAGAAGGGCUUCCCACAGCAGCGGUCUUUCUCAAAAAGAACCUAGAAAAGAGAGGAAAGUGCGGGCGGCAGACCUGAGGGCGCUUCCCUGCAGUUGCAGGACACCCACUGGGCCAGGAGGCCCUGACCACACCCCACUGGCACUCUGGUGAGCCCCUAGCGCCCAGCACCUCUCAAGCGCCAUGCAAGGGCCUUCAUUCCAGCUCCUGGCUUGGUGCUGAUACAAACGCUUGGCUAGAGCUAAAGACACACGCAUCCCAUUUAUAAGUGUGGAACCCUGCUACAACACCCAACAAAAACUCCUGCUCAGAAGGGCGGUCCGUUUCAGGGCCCUGGUUCCAAGUGCAGGGCCCGGACAGGAGGUCUCGGCCCAUCAGGUGGGGGGAACUGGGGGUGCUCCUGGAGGCCUGCGCACCAUCCGGUCCCCCUGGACCACUCGGCAGUGAGGACCAGGCUGGCACACCUCUGUGAUGCUGGCUGCAGCGGAUGCCACCUCCUAGGCAGAUGGCAUGCUGGGGCCUCUGAGCUUAAGGCCACUGGCUGCUCAUGACCAUGGGUCCCACGAUCACAGGCUGUGCCUGGAGCUGGGCCGCUGGGCUCUGCAGCCGGCACCAUCAGUGCCCAGAUCAGGGCUGACGCAGGCAAGCAAAGCCUGGGACUUAGGAGCCGCGGAGGGACAGCUGCCUCUGCAGUGGCCAGACCGUGCAGUCCCUGGGUGCACACAAAACCUUUCUGCUGCUCUUUGUGCACCUGCAGACGGAGUCCAGAGAGGGCCCAAGGUGCACCCAGGAGCCACUUGAGCCCUUCUGAGGGGCAGCUAGGGGCCUCCUCCUCACCUGGCCAUGGUCUGCCCAAACACAGGCAUGCAGCUCGCUGGCAGCUAUGUGGGCCAGGUGGGCAGCACUGCCCUCUCUCCUUCCCGGCCUGGGUGACCACCUAGCUACCGCCCACAAGCCUGGCACCCAGGUUGGGCAGGCUCAGAGCCUCAGGCAGCACCAGCCUGGCAGGGCCCUGCUUGUGAGCACCGCCCAGGCUCCACUCCAUCUGCCUGCCCCUCCCGAGCCCACAGUUCUGCCAAGCAGCAGGUCUGUGGCGCAGCACUGGGGGAGAGGUCCAGGUGGAAAACGGCACAAGGCAGGCACUGACAUCCCAGGCCUCCUGGGCAUGCCAGAAGCACAGCGCUCUGAAGGGGCUGCCUAUGUGGUCUAAGCUGGAAAUGAUAUUAGGAAAUCCGACAAUAAAACAGUCAUGGUUUUAAACUAAAUUAUUUUGUGUACUGGUGUCAAUUCCUCAUCAACCUUAGUGAGAAAAAUGGACAAAACUAUUGGUGGCCCACGGGAAGUGCCCCCAAAGCUGCCCAGGGAGGUGGUGGCAGCGGCUCUGAGCAAGCAGACAGACUGGAGCCUCAAGUGCCCAGUACACGCCCCCAGCCGGGCAGCAGGGAAGAGCGGUGCAGGUGAGUCGGGCCGCGCUCGCUCCCCUUCAGGGGCAGGGGCACGAUGGCACGUACCGACGGAAGGCGGCUGCCAACGAUGCUGACAGUGAGGAGAACACGCGCAGGCUGGGUGGCAGAGUGCCUCUCCAGACAGGCAGAGAGCAGUUCGCCUGCUGUCAAAUCUCUUCGGCCUCCUGUGAUUUACCCUGGUACCUGUGGGUCUGGGACUCUGACACGGAUGCGCGCUGGGGCCUCGGGCUGGGGUUGUGGCCUUGUGGCUCACUUAACC